This 418-nucleotide ribosomal RNA is filed under the name uncultured bacterium. Its description in RNAcentral is "bacterial SSU rRNA". It matches the Rfam family "Bacterial small subunit ribosomal RNA", at positions 96 to 511 of the family's 1533-position model. The record is from RNAcentral.
UGGCGAACGGGUGAGUAAUACAUCGGAACGUGUCCUUAAGUGGGGAAUAACGCAUCGAAAGAUGUGCUAAUACCGCAUAUCUCUCAGGAGGAAAGCAGGGGAUCGCAAGACCUUGCGCUAAAGGAGCGGCCGAUGUCUGAUUAGCUAGUUGGUGGGGUAAAGGCCUACCAAGGCAACGAUCAGUAGCUGGUCUGAGAGGACGAUCAGCCACACUGGGACUGAGACACGGCCCAGACUCCUACGGGAGGCAGCAGUGGGGAAUUUUGGACAAUGGGCGAAAGCCUGAUCCAGCCAUGCCGCGUGAGUGAAGAAGGCCUUCGGGUUGUAAAGCUCUUUUAGUUGGAAAGAAAGAAUUAUAGUUAAUAGCUAUAAUUUAUGACGGUACCAACAGAAAAAGCACCGGCUAACUACGUGCCAG